GCGGAUGUGUUGAGACUGCACGAGAAUGACUUUAUUUUGGUCUGUAAUGAGCUUGCUCUCUUUUCUAAAACUUAUCUCUGGGCGGUGAACAGAAGACCGCGCGCUCCCGUUAAGCCCUUCGUGCCCCGGGGAAGCCAUGCUUGAAAUCUGAAUGGGACGUCACAAAAGAGAAACAGCAGGCAGUAUAAACCCAGGUGGACAACUCUGAGGACGUUUGGCAGCACAAUAUGAAGAUUGCUGUUGUUUGUGCUUCCUACGCUGAAGAUCCUGUAGAUGUCUCUCUUAUUCUUGACGGCAAGGAGGUUGUGACUGGAUGUGGAAAUACUGCAAAGCCAUGUACACUGCUAAUGGAGUGAAAGUAGCAGUUCCUCCUUAAGGUCAGAGAUUGCAGCAUCUGAGGGCCUCUUCAAAAGAAGACGUAGUUGAUGAAGGCGUUCUGGAGCAGGACC
This is a long non-coding RNA of Amphiprion ocellaris (clown anemonefish), 449 nucleotides long. The record is from Ensembl. NCBI's taxonomy places the organism in Eukaryota, Metazoa, Chordata, Actinopteri, Pomacentridae.